GUGGGGAAUCUUAGACAAUGGGGGAAACCCUGAUCUAGCCAUGCCGCGUGAGCGAUGAAGGCCUUAGGGUUGUAAAGCUCUUUCAGCUGGGAAGAUAAUGACGGUACCAGCAGAAGAAGCCCCGGCUAACUCCGUGCCAGCAGCCGCGGUAAUACGGAGGGGGCUAGCGUUGUUCGGAAUUACUGGGCGUAAAGCGCGCGUAGGCGGACCAGAAAGUUGGAGGUGAAAUCCCAGGGCUCAACCUUGGAACUGCCUUCAAAACUCCUGGUCUGGAGUUCGAGAGAGGUGAGUGGAAUUCCGAGUGUAGAGGUGAAAUUCGUAGAUAUUCGGAGGAACACCAGUGGCGAAGGCGGCUCACUGGCCCGUUACUGACGCUGAGGCGCGAAAGCGUGGGGAGCAAACAGGAUUAGAAACCCGUGUAGUCC
This 425-nucleotide ribosomal RNA is filed under the name uncultured bacterium. RNAcentral describes it as "partial 16S ribosomal RNA". It matches the Rfam family "Bacterial small subunit ribosomal RNA", at positions 354 to 796 of the family's 1533-position model. The record is from RNAcentral.